GUUGAGCGCUGAAGGUUGGUACUUGUACCGACUGGAUGAGCAGCGAACGGGUGAGUAACGCGUGGGGAAUCUGCCUUUGAGCGGGGGACAACAUUUGGAAACGAAUGCUAAUACCGCAUAAAAACUUUAAACACAAGUUUUAAGUUUGAAAGAUGCAAUUGCAUCACUCAAAGAUGAUCCCGCGUUGUAUUAGCUAGUUGGUGAGGUAAAGGCUCACCAAGGCGAUGAUACAUAGCCGACCUGAGAGGGUGAUCGGCCACAUUGGGACUGAGACACGGCCCAAACUCCUACGGGAGGCAGCAGUAGGGAAUCUUCGGCAAUGGACGAAAGUCUGACCGAGCAACGCCGCGUGAGUGAAGAAGGUUUUCGGAUCGUAAAACUCUGUUGGUAGAGAAGAACGUUGGUGAGAGUGGAAAGCUCAUCAAGUGACGGUAACUACCCAGAAAGGGACGGCUAACUACGUGCCAGCAGCCGCGGUAAUACGUAGGUCCCGAGCGUUGUCCGGAUUUAUUGGGCGUAAAGCGAGCGCAGGUGGUUUAUUAAGUCUGGUGUAAAAGGCAGUGGCUCAACCAUUGUAUGCAUUGGAAACUGGUAGACUUGAGUGCAGGAGAGGAGAGUGGAAUUCCAUGUGUAGCGGUGAAAUGCGUAGAUAUAUGGAGGAACACCGGUGGCGAAAGCGGCUCUCUGGCCUGUAACUGACACUGAGGCUCGAAAGCGUGGGGAGCAAACAGGAUUAGAUACCCUGGUAGUCCACGCCGUAAACGAUGAGUGCUAGAUGUAGGGAGCUAUAAGUUCUCUGUAUCGCAGCUAACGCAAUAAGCACUCCGCCUGGGGAGUACGACCGCAAGGUUGAAACUCAAAGGAAUUGACGGGGGCCCGCACAAGCGGUGGAGCAUGUGGUUUAAUUCAAAGCAACGCGAAGAACCUUACCAGGUCUUGACAUACUCGUGCUAUUCCUAG
Molecule: ribosomal RNA, 960 nt
Filed under: Lactococcus sp.
Lineage: Bacteria; Bacillati; Bacillota; Bacilli; Lactobacillales; Streptococcaceae
Description: bacterial SSU rRNA
Rfam family: Bacterial small subunit ribosomal RNA
Source: RNAcentral